GAUGAACGCUGGCGGCGUGCCUAAUACAUGCAAGUCGAGCGAACAGACGAGGAGCUUGCUCCUCUGACGUUAGCGGCGGACGGGUGAGUAACACGUGGAUAACCUACCUAUAAGACUGGGAUAACUUCGUGAAACCGGAGCUAAUACCGGAUAAUAUAUUGAACCGCAUGGUUCAAUAGUGAAAGACGGUUUUGCUGUCACUUAUAGAUGGAUCCGCGCCGCAUUAGCUAGUUGGUAAGGUAACGGCUUACCAAGGCAACGAUGCGUAGCCGACCUGAGAGGGUGAUCGGCCACACUGGAACUGAGACACGGUCCAGACUCCUACGGGAGGCAGCAGGAGGGAAUCUUCCGCAAUGGGCGAAAGCCUGACGGAGCAACGCCGCGUGAGUGAUGAAGGUCUUCGGAUCGUAAAACUCUGUUAUGAGGGAAGAACAAAUGUGUAAGUAACUAUGCACGUCUUGACGGUACCAAAUCAGAAAGCCACGGCUAACUACGU
This 496-nucleotide ribosomal RNA is filed under the name uncultured bacterium. RNAcentral describes it as "partial 16S ribosomal RNA". It matches the Rfam family "Bacterial small subunit ribosomal RNA", at positions 28 to 506 of the family's 1533-position model. The record is from RNAcentral.